ACCAAUCCGUUGGACUAUUGUGUCUGGAGUAUUUUGGAAAGUAAUUCAAACGCUUCACCGGGAAUGGGCCAAAAUACCGCAGAACAACAUUCGGGCAGUGUGUGACGGUUUCAUUGGCCGUUUGAAGGCCGUAAUUCGUGCCAAAGGUGA
Molecule: long non-coding RNA, 150 nt
Organism: Musca vetustissima
Lineage: Eukaryota; Metazoa; Arthropoda; Insecta; Diptera; Muscidae
Exons: 2
Source: RefSeq, a predicted model, not a curated record